Long non-coding RNA from Dermochelys coriacea (leatherback sea turtle), 998 nucleotides. RefSeq lists it as uncharacterized. Lineage: Eukaryota; Metazoa; Chordata; Testudines; Dermochelyidae. The record is from RefSeq and is a predicted model, not a curated record. The transcript is spliced from 3 exons.
GCAGGGGGCAGGGGCGGCUGCUCCGUGGGGAGGGCACAGGGAUGGAGGCGGCGGGGGAAGCCGGGUGCAUCGGUUGCCCCCUGUCCUAGGAAGUUCUGGGGAGGGGCUGAGGCUGCGGGGCGCCCGCCUGGGGCCGUGACAGGGGCGUUGAGCGGGCCCCAGCCGGGACCCUCUGACACCCGCUGCUGGUCCGGACGGAACCGAUGGGGAAGGCGGAAAGAAGCGAGAGGGCGGCGAAGCGGGCCCCGCUGCAGGCGGCUGCGGUGGGGAAGGAGCGUUACCUGCACCCGCGGGCCCCCAGGAGUACGGACGGUGCGGCUGGAAACACGAGCUCGCCUGGAAGGCAGCUGCGAAAACGGUUCACGUUUUAGGACAACGCAGAAGGAAAAGUUCUUCUGAAGUGGUCACCCGGCUUGGAGCUGGGAGAGAUCUGAGAGCUGUGCUGCCACAGAAACUAACCCUGGCUAGCAGGGACGUUUGCAUGUUCAUGAAGGAAACUCUGCCGGAAAGGAAUACAUAAAAGGAUGCCAAACUCUUUGUCCUGUGAACAGUGAUACAGACAAAGUGCCAGCUACUCAGCAGUGACUCUGCAAUUGAAGGGCUAUGAAUACAUGACUUUCAGGUCCUGGAAGGAAGCCCUUCUGUAUGAUUACAGUUCUGAUCUCACAUCGCAUGUAACUUGACUCUCAGAGCAUUUUGGUUUUUUUAUAUCACGGAAAACUAGGAUCCGUAAAUAUUGCUCUUCAGUUAGCCAAGGGAGUCACUAAAGAGUAAGAAGGAGUUCUUCAGACCUCUUAAAAAACAGAAUUGAAUGCUUUGGAUCUAGUGUUCCCAAAUCUUGCUGGUCAGUGAGGACUCACCUAGACUCUUAAGGCCAAAUUGAAGGUGAGUCUUCUUCUGACCCUUUCAUUGUUUUUGUGUGGCUCCCUUGGCUUACUUAGCUCUCUUAGGGUAUGUCUACACUACAAAAUUAGGUCGAUUUUAUAGAAGUCAAUUUU